CGGGAAGUAGCGCAGCCCGGUAGCGUACUUGGAUGGGGUUCAAGUGGUCGCUGGUUCGAAUCCAGUCUUCCCGA
Molecule: transfer RNA, 74 nt
Filed under: Flavipsychrobacter sp.
Lineage: Bacteria; Pseudomonadati; Bacteroidota; Chitinophagia; Chitinophagales; Chitinophagaceae
Description: tRNA-Pro
Rfam family: tRNA
About the family: Transfer RNA (tRNA) molecules are approximately 80 nucleotides in length. Their secondary structure includes four short double-helical elements and three loops (D, anti-codon, and T loops).
Source: RNAcentral